This 484-nucleotide ribosomal RNA is filed under the name uncultured bacterium. Its description in RNAcentral is "partial 16S ribosomal RNA". It matches the Rfam family "Bacterial small subunit ribosomal RNA", at positions 30 to 507 of the family's 1533-position model. The record is from RNAcentral.
AUUGAACGCUGGCGGCAGGCCUAACUCAUGCAAGUCGAGCGGAUGAAGGGAGCUUGCUCCUGGAUUCAGCGGCGGACGGGUGAGUAAUGCCUAGGAAUCUGCCUGGUAGUGGGGGAUAACGUCCGGAAACGGGCGCUAAUACCGCAUACGUCCUGAGGGAGAAAGUGGGGGAUCUUCGGACCUCACGCUAUCAGAUGAGCCUAGGUCGGAUUAGCUAGUUGGUGGGGUAAAGGCCUACCAAGGCGACGAUCCGUAACUGGUCUGAGAGGAUGAUCAGUCACACUGGAACUGAGACGCGGUCCAGACUCCUACGGGAGGCAGCAGUGGGGAAUAUUGGACAAUGGGCGAAAGCCUGAUCCAGCCAUGCCGCGUGUGUGAAGAAGGUCUUCGGAUUGUAAAGCACUUUAAGUUGGGAGGAAGGGCAGUAAGUUAAUACCUUGCUGUUUUGACGUUACCAACAGAAUAAGCACCGGCUAACUUCGUG